AACGAACGCUGGCGGCAGGCCUAACACAUGCAAGUCGAACGCUCCGCAAGGGGAGUGGCGCACGGGUGAGUAACGCGUGGGAAUAUGCCCUUCGGUUCGGAAUAACACAGGGAAACUUGUGCUAAUACCGGAUGCGAUCUACGGAUGAAAGAUUUAUCGCCGAGUGAGUAGCCCGCGUAGGAUUAGCUAGUUGGUGAGGUAAUGGCUCACCAAGGCGACGAUCCUUAGCUGGUCUGAGAGGAUGAUCAGCCACACUGGGACUGAGACACGGCCCAGACUCCUACGGGAGGCAGCAGUGGGGAAUAUUGGACAAUGGGCGAAAGCCUGAUCCAGCCAUGCCGCGUGAGUGAUGAAGGCCUUAGGGUUGUAAAGCUCUUUCGCCAGGGAAGAUAAUGACGGUACCUGGAAAAGAAGCCUCGGCUAACUCCGUGCCAGCCGCCGCGGUAA
This 447-nucleotide ribosomal RNA is filed under the name uncultured bacterium. Its description in RNAcentral is "partial 16S ribosomal RNA". It matches the Rfam family "Bacterial small subunit ribosomal RNA", at positions 29 to 523 of the family's 1533-position model. The record is from RNAcentral.